This 32-nucleotide ribosomal RNA is filed under the name Rubus crataegifolius. RNAcentral describes it as "partial 28S ribosomal RNA". Lineage: Eukaryota; Viridiplantae; Streptophyta; Magnoliopsida; Rosales; Rosaceae. The record is from RNAcentral.
UGCUUUCAACGCGAYCCCAGGUCAGGCGGGGU